RNAcentral lists this ribosomal RNA (237 nucleotides) under uncultured bacterium. RNAcentral describes it as "partial 16S ribosomal RNA". It matches the Rfam family "Bacterial small subunit ribosomal RNA", at positions 96 to 334 of the family's 1533-position model. The record is from RNAcentral.
UGGCGAACGGGUGAGUAACACGUGAGUAACCUGCCCCAGACUCUGGGAUAACCCCGGGAAACCGGAGCUAAUACCGGAUACGACACGAAGAGGCAUCUCUAUCGUGUGGAAAGUUUUUCGGUCUGGGAUGGACUCGCGGCCUAUCAGCUUGUUGGUGAGGUAACGGCUCACCAAGGCGACGACGGGUAGCCGGCCUGAGAGGGCGACCGGCCACACUGGGACUGAGACACGGCCCAG